Amphibalanus amphitrite is the source of this 934-nucleotide long non-coding RNA. RefSeq lists it as uncharacterized. The record is from RefSeq and is a predicted model, not a curated record. NCBI's taxonomy places the organism in Eukaryota, Metazoa, Arthropoda, Thecostraca, Balanomorpha, Balanidae. The transcript has 4 exons.
GCGCUCUGCGCUGUGUUGGACCAGUAGGGAUGUAUUUUCCAGUAUUUUCGAAGAAAAUAAGCUAAAAAGUACUUAAAUCGUGACAGUAAUUGAAUUGACCUAAGCUUGAGCUGGUAAUAACGGCCUGGCUACUGAAUCUACAUACGAUUGAUGUCAAAUGCACAAGAGACCGAGGGGUGAAAAGAUGUGAAGUGGUGCCUGAACCUGAAGUCUUACAGAGGCAGACCGGGACAUUUUCUUUUUUAUCAAGUAUCCAACUAAAAAAUGAGGUCAAUCAACAAUGCAAUGAGCUUGAAAAAGUUCAUGCUGCGGCAGGAAGUCCUGACUCUCUACAGGUCCAUUCUGAGGUCCAUCAAAUCAGUCCCAGAACAGGACAGGGCCACAAUGAAGGCAUGGGUCCGAGAAGAGUUUGAGCUGCAUCGGUCUGUUCAAGAUGAGGCACUCAUCAAACAGCAUUUAGCUUGUGGCAAAAAGACAUUCAAAGAGCUCCAACAAGCAAUGAAUCUUGCAUCAUCCUGACAAGUUUGUAGCAGCCAUCUCAACUGUUGCUCCUGUUCAUCUACUACUUGAAUCUACUUUGGCGGCGCUGAGGUCGGUGGAGACGCAGUAGCCCGUCUGCGGCUCGGAGGCUGCGCGCGCCAGACACGAGAGCCAGUCGCGCCGCGAGCGGACCGGGCACUCGUUCACUGCCGUCAUCAGGUCGCCGGCCGACAGACCGGUGGCGCCGUGCAGCGGAGAGUCCUGCAAACACGGCCCAGAGCGUCACCAACAGACAGAGAGGGGUAAGGGCGGGUGCGUGCAGAGGGGUAGAGAGGGUGCGUGAAGUGAUCAGAGACGCAUAGAGACAGUGCGAGUGUUUAUAGUUGUUGUACAACUGUGUGUGUGCCUUGAAGACCUGGUAAAAGUGCAAUAAAUGAGAAAGAUAUUGGUGUAA